RNAcentral lists this ribosomal RNA (486 nucleotides) under uncultured bacterium. RNAcentral describes it as "partial 16S ribosomal RNA". It matches the Rfam family "Bacterial small subunit ribosomal RNA", at positions 28 to 507 of the family's 1533-position model. The record is from RNAcentral.
GAUGAACGCUGGCGGCGUGCCUAAUACAUGCAAGUCGAACGCUGGAAAUCUAGCUUGCUAGAUUGAAGGAGUGGCGAACGGGUGAGUAAUACAUAAGCAACCUACCCACGAAGACUGGGAUAAUCUCUGGAAACGGGGACUAAUACCGGAUAGGUAAUCGGAAGGCAUCUUCUGAUUAUUAAAGGUUAAAAACACUGGUGGAUGGGCUUAUGGCGCAUUAGUUAGUUGGUGAGGUAACGGCCCACCAAGACGAUGAUGCGUAGCCGGCCUGAGAGGGUGAACGGCCACAUUGGGACUGAGACACGGCCCAGACUCCUACGGGAGGCAGCAGUAGGGAAUUGUCGGCAAUGGGGGAAACCCUGACCGAGCAACGCCGCGUGAGUGAGGACGGCCUUCGGGUUGUAAAGCUCUGUUGUAAGGGAAGAACGGUAGAUAGAGAAUAUCUAAAUGACGGUACCUUACCAGAAAGCCACGGCUAACUACGUG